Molecule: long non-coding RNA, 558 nt
Organism: Empidonax traillii (willow flycatcher)
Lineage: Eukaryota; Metazoa; Chordata; Aves; Passeriformes; Tyrannidae
Exons: 3
Source: RefSeq, a predicted model, not a curated record
GAUGGAACAGGACCCUUUGUGACACGGGAUGAUAUAAGCACUGGUGUUGAUGUGGCAACGCCUCAGUGCUCCUCGGAGCCUGCGACGGGACAGACGGGACAGAGCGGUGCUGUGCGGAGCCCCCGCGUAGCCAACUCUUUCCUUGCCAACCCGGAGCGUUUUUGGUAGUUUUUCAUUAGUGCAAGUGUCCUCGAGGCCAGACCGCGGGAUUUGGAGACCCAGAGCUCUUGUGUGGUGUCCCCAAUCCCUGCGGCAGGUGCCCUCGAGGCCGUGCUCUGGGACUUCGUGCCCCGGAGCUUUUUGCUGGCGUCUCCAUUCCCUGCAGCAGGUGCCCUCGAGGCCCGACUGUAGGAUGGCCGAGAGACGCUUCAGCCUGGCCAGGCUGCUCAGGAAGAAAUCAAAGAAGGAAGGCCCUGGGCCUGCCCCAGCAGAGCAGCCUGAAGAGAUGGAGCAGCCCCAGCCCCUGCAGGAAGAUCCAGGCCAGGACCGGACACAAGAACAGGACCGUGCCCGUGGCCGCUUCCGCAGGGCAGCACAGGUACCUGCACUGCAAUCCUG